Hyaena hyaena (striped hyena) is the source of this 1052-nucleotide long non-coding RNA. RefSeq lists it as uncharacterized. Lineage: Eukaryota; Metazoa; Chordata; Mammalia; Carnivora; Hyaenidae. The transcript is spliced from 4 exons. The record is from RefSeq and is a predicted model, not a curated record.
CCGUUUUCAUUUUCCUCUUUUCCACUUUUGGAGACCUCAGCUUCAGUCCUGCCAGUACUGGUCCUCAGAGGACCCUGCUGUCUGGCUACUGGAAAAAUGCAAAUGGCGAUUGUAAUAACUGAAGAGGCAACUAUAACCCCAAAUUUCUUCAGAGACGUGAAGGCUUUUCCACUGAAUCCCAUGAAUAUUCUACCAGCUUUGAGCCCUAGAAUGUUACAGCUUGGAGCUUCCCUAGCCUGAUAGCCCCAUUGCAUACCAAAUGGAACUUCAGCCAAAGACAGUGACUACCCAAAGGCGAUCAAAAUUAGUGGUGAAGAAUCCUGGAGUUCUCAUUUUCGUUUCUAGGAAGCUGUAUGGAAAAUUCAAUAGGAAUGUGAAAAUGCAAACCUACUGACUAGCACCGAGUGAGGCCUGGAAAGGUGAAGUUCAUUUUCUCACCACGUAAAGUUGUUGAGAAGAUAAAUGACAUAAUGCCAGUAAAAUUGCUCAGAGCUCUUACAGACAGAAGCUUGAUUUAAAUGUGAGACAGUACUUAUUGUCUGAAUAUUAAAGAACCACCUUUCACAGCCUCAAGCCAAGCCUGAAGAAAAGAAUUGGGAAUUGUUGGACUACACAUCAUUUUACGCCAUUGAACUCAGAUGAUAAGAAGACCUCUCUUUAUAUAUAAUAAAUGAGUAUUGAAUGGAUGCCAAGCAGAUGUCAGUUUUACCAUUGUUUCUGCUCAAUAGGAAAGCUCUUCUAGACUUCCCGAUAUGGUACUACUCUCUUGAGAACAAAGUCUGAGACUACAGAGAGGAAGGACUGUGUGAACUUCUACUGCUGAGGAGCUAAGGCAAAAAACAAAAAUCAGUUACUUUGGACAUGAUAAGAUGUAACAAUAAACAUGGAACAGAGUGGCCCCAGGGAGAAAAUUGCAUUUCAAACAGCUCCUUCUGGACUCGCUAAUGGUUUGAUAGAAGACUUCAGCCCUGCCCCAAACCUGAUUGCAGCCAUGUGAGAUACUCUAAGGCAGAGAACCCAGCUAAUCGUGCCCAGACUCUUGAUCCACAGAG